RNAcentral lists this ribosomal RNA (467 nucleotides) under uncultured bacterium. Its description in RNAcentral is "partial 16S ribosomal RNA". It matches the Rfam family "Bacterial small subunit ribosomal RNA", at positions 28 to 507 of the family's 1533-position model. The record is from RNAcentral.
GAUGAACGCUGGCGGCGUGCUUAACACAUGCAAGUCGAACGGUGAAGCAGAGCUUGCUCUGUGGUUCAGUGGCGAACGGGUGAGUAACACGUGAGCAACCUGCCCCUGACUCUGGGAUAAGCGCUGUAAACGGCGUCUAAUACUGGAUAUGAGCUGCGACCGCAUGGUCAGCAGUUGGAAAGAUUUUUCGGUAUGGGAUGGGCGCACGGCCUAUCAGCUUGUUUGUGAGGUAAUGGCUCACCAAGGCGUCGCCGGGUAGCCGGCCUGAGAGGGUGGCCGGCCACCAGGGGCCUGAGAGAGGGAGCAGUAUCCAACGGGCGGCAAUAGGGGAGAGUCUUGCACAGCGGGCGAGAGCCUGAUACAGAGACGCCGGGUGAGGGAAACCGGCCUACGGGUGAUGAACCACUGUGAGAGGGAAAAAGCAGAAAGUGACGGUACCUGAAGAAAAAGCGCCGGCUAACUACGUG